GUGAGGGACUAGGAGACACGAAAAGUCACCUCUCCUAGUAAACGAGGAAGGAACCAAAGGCAGGAGUCGCUGAGCGAGAGCUGCAUGUUGAUCUAAAAAAUGUCUGUGCAGCCAUUUGGACCUCAGCGUGAAGUGGUGAUAAAAGGUGAAGUCCGUUCUUCGGGAAGUAAACCUCUGCCACGUGGAUCACGCCCAGACAGUCUGUUGAUUUUGUCCAACAGCUUCUUGCUUUGGAAGGUGUCCUUCCUGGUGGAACACAGUAAGUGUCGGACAGACGAACAGUCCACUCUGUACAGGUACUGGAGAAGAUCCCAGAUUAAUGUUUGGAGGACAAUUUUGUUGUAACAGACACUGAUGAAGCUCCAUUGUAAAGAACUGGGAAAGCCUUCUAGAUGUGCACGUGUCUAGAUUCGGCCUUUGUUUAACAUAUAUUCCAAUCCUGAUUCUGCCUUCACCAGCUGCAAAGAGCACCUGACACACGACCACAGCACGGGGCCUGCUGAAGAGGGAGUUUUAUCACCUCAAACUCAUGGCCACUUGGUAUUUUCAAAAGCCAGCCAAGAGAAAGAUUUGCAGAGAGCUGUGCAGAAAACAUGCAGCCCAUUCAGCCUCUCGGUUUCACCUUUUGCUGGAACACAGAGGUACAAAUGACGCUUAAUGUACCAACGCUUUCUGACUGACUCCUCUCUACCCUGAAUACAAGAGACCCUAAUAGAUACGUGGAAAUAUCAUCGCCCCUGUUCAGCAUGAAGAAGUUACAGAAGACGGACCUUCAUCCUUCUGCAACCCUUAGAAUUAAGGGUCCUCUUGUAAAAGGGUGGGGGGGAUAGGUUAGAAGCAUUCAAACCAGAGUGACUCUGUUUCGAAUAUGGGCCAAGAAAA
Long non-coding RNA from Saimiri boliviensis boliviensis (Bolivian squirrel monkey), 882 nucleotides. RefSeq lists it as uncharacterized. The record is from RefSeq and is a predicted model, not a curated record. Lineage: Eukaryota; Metazoa; Chordata; Mammalia; Primates; Cebidae.